GGAUGUGAGGGUAAUCUGGCUGUGAUAUCUGUCACCCCACUGAUCGUCAGGGUUGAUUUGGCUGAUCUGGCUGGCUAGGCGGUGUCCUCUUCCUCCCCUACCACUCCAAGUGUGUCCCUCCCAAAGCUGCGCCCUCCGGCUGGGUCAAAGAGAAUGACCUCCCCUGAUAGAGGAGAACCAUUCUUCUUGGUCAAGGGUAAAGAGUAGCUGCACUCCCCUGCUAGAACCUUCAACCAGUUCUCAGGAAAUACACAAAAUAAUACCACAUAUUUUCAAGGACAGAUACAUGUAUGAAAGGUAGAUUGGAAGAACAUACAUUAAAUAAUACAUAUGUU
Molecule: unclassified non-coding RNA, 335 nt
Organism: Vicugna pacos (alpaca)
Lineage: Eukaryota; Metazoa; Chordata; Mammalia; Artiodactyla; Camelidae
Gene: 7SK
Rfam family: 7SK RNA
About the family: 7SK was discovered as an abundant small nuclear RNA in the mid-70s but a possible function has only recently been suggested. Two independent studies have found that 7SK RNA binds the CDK9/cyclin T complex (known as elongation factor P-TEFb).
Source: Ensembl